RNAcentral lists this ribosomal RNA (253 nucleotides) under uncultured bacterium. RNAcentral's name for it is "partial 16S ribosomal RNA". It matches the Rfam family "Bacterial small subunit ribosomal RNA", at positions 524 to 776 of the family's 1533-position model. The record is from RNAcentral.
UACGGGGGGGGCAAGCGUUGUUCGGAAUUACUGAGCGUAAAGGGCUCGUAGGCGGCCAACUAAGUCAGACGUGAAAUCCCUCGGCUUAACCGGGGAACUGCAUCUGAUACUGGAUGGCUUGAGAUUGGGAGAGGGAUGCGGAAUUCCAGGUGUAGCGGUGAAAUGCGUAGAUAUCUGGAGGAACACCGGUGGCGAAGGCGGCAUCCUGGACCAACACUGACGCUGAGGAGCGAAAGCCAGGGGAGCAAACGGG